UGGGGAAUAUUGCACAAUGGGGGAAACCCUGAUGCAGCGACGCCGCGUGAACGAAGAAGGUAUUCGUAUCGUAAAGUUCUGUCCUAUGGGAAGAUAAUGACAGUACCAUAGAAGAAAGCUCCGGCUAAAUACGUGCCAGCAGCCGCGGUAAUACGUAUGGAGCGAGCGUUGUCCGGUAUUAUUGGGCGUAAAGGGUACGCAGGCGGUUUAAUAAGUCGAAUGUUAAAGAUCGGGGCUCAACCCCGCAAAGCAUUGGAAACUGAUAAACUUGAGUAGUGGAGAGGAAAGUGGAAUUCCUAGUGUAGUGGUGAAAUACGUAGAUAUUAGGAGGAAUACCAGUAGCGAAGGCGACUUUCUGGACACAAACUGACGCUGAGGUACGAAAGCGUGGGGAGCAAACAGG
RNAcentral lists this ribosomal RNA (403 nucleotides) under bacterium. RNAcentral describes it as "partial 16S ribosomal RNA". It matches the Rfam family "Bacterial small subunit ribosomal RNA", at positions 355 to 776 of the family's 1533-position model. The record is from RNAcentral.